GCCCCACUAGCUCAGUUGGUAGAGCAUGAGACUCUUAAUCUCAGGGUUGUGGGUUUGAGCCCCACUUUGGGCG
Non-coding RNA from Mastomys coucha (southern multimammate mouse), 73 nucleotides. The record is from the annotation of a RefSeq genome assembly. Lineage: Eukaryota; Metazoa; Chordata; Mammalia; Rodentia; Muridae.